Pyrgilauda ruficollis (rufous-necked snowfinch) is the source of this 2255-nucleotide RNA transcript. It is a transcript of the gene named DNA repair protein RAD51 homolog 1-like, with no coding region annotated. The record is from RefSeq and is a predicted model, not a curated record. The transcript is spliced from 3 exons. NCBI's taxonomy places the organism in Eukaryota, Metazoa, Chordata, Aves, Passeriformes, Passeridae.
GGUGGGGACAACACAACAACCAAUGAGGGAGAACUUAGAAGGGAGCACUAGCAAAUAAGGGAUGUAUUAGGGAGGGGCUCUAUUUCCUGGUCCAAUCACCCACUGAAAGGAGGAAAAGGAAUUUUUGAAUUUCUGGAAUAAGAGGAGGAGUCAGUGGGUGAUGGACAGGAGCUCAGGGAGUGGUUAACAGAAAAAUCCAUGGCAACAGGGGAGGAGACAACAAACAGACAGCUCUUAUACAUGGGGAGGGGAUAACCGGGGAGGGAGGAGGAUCCCAAGACCGAACCACUUUAAUAAUUGGGGGAAACGAACAUACCAACUCCAACAAAACCAAACAACACACUACAACGCUGUGCUAGCUUGGCUCCAGACUCCUUGUGCUCGCCAGAGCCAGAGCUUCGUUGUUCAGGGUCUGCAAAUGAGGGACAGAAAAAUACAUUUGCUCUCAGAGGUGGGAAAUGGGCUCUCCCAAAGGCAGGGAUCCAUGGGAUGGUAGCUCCCAGCUUGGGUGUUAGCUCUGGGUUGUGAGGUCACCUCGGGACACCCCAAGGAGCAGGAGGCAACUGGAGUUGCUGAUUAAAUCCUGUCGGGGCACAGCACCUGCCUGCCAGCACACCGUGUCCAUCCCCUGCCUGCUCUCAGCUGCAGACAGGGCUGAACCACGAGGAGCAACCAGCAGAGUCCUGCCAGCCCCAGCUCCUGCUCCGGGUCCCCAGCUCCUGGGCCUUUGAGGAAUCUAUGUGGAGGAGCUGAAGAACCAGAGGUCAAGUGGGAUUUGAUGAACUCUGCUCUCCCUGCAAUCCUCCAGCUCUCUGUGGGAGCCUUCCAUCUCCCAGAGGUUCCAGUUUAACUGAAUGGUAGUGGAGAAAGAAGGAAGAAGGCCUGGAAUUCUUCAGGAUGGGUGUUUAGGCAGCCCUGGGCACAAAUCAGCAUUUUUGUACAAAUGCGUGCAGUCCCUCAAGCGCUUGCAAUAGGUGCUAAAUCCCAAUCACCCUUCCAAAAACCCAACCCCGAGGCAUCUCCCAGCUUCCAGCAGCCACACACUGAGAGUGGGGGGGAUAUUCUAGUGGGAGUGAUCGCUGGGGUGGCCCCUGGUGCAAAGCAAAGGGUGUCAGUUCAGGGCAGGGGCUCAGAAAGGGCCGGCACAGCCCCAGGGAUCUGUCGAGGGGGAGAGCUGGAGAGGUAGCUUUGGCGAAGGAUCGUGACAGGUCCGCUGCCGUGAGGGGCACGGAACAAAGGGCUGGAAUUGGGCACCGGGAGGGGACCCCGGGCGGGGAAUGUGGGGAGCUUCAGACUGUGGGCUGGGGGACCCAGGAGGUGCUGCUGGCUCCGGCAGGGCCCCACCAGAACUGGAGCCGUGGGAUGCUGGAAUGGUUUGGGGUGGAAGGAACCUUAAAAGCUCAUCCUGCUCCACCCACUGCAACAGGCAAGGACACCUGCCACUAUCCCAGCUUGCUCCAAGCCCUGUCCACCCUGACCUUGGACACUGCCAGGGAUCCAGGGGCAGCCCCAGCCCCAGCUUCUCUGGCACCCUUUGGCAGGGCCUCAGCACUCUCACAGGGAAGAAUUCCCCAUAAUAGCCAACCUAAACUUUUUCCUUCAAAACAUGGUGAGUCUGCAAACUUCUUUACUAAAUUCUUACUUGUGUUCUGUCAAAACAAACCCUAAAACAAUUCAAAAUACCAACAUGUGUUGUUUUUCCCCGCUCCCUUCCCAGCAAUGUGGCACAAAUUCCAGUGAUGCGAAGAAGCUGGAAGCUGGAUUUCAGACAGUGGAGGCGAUGGCUUAUGCACCAGAGAAGGAGCUACUGAACAUUAAAGGCAUCAGUGAAACCAAAGCUGACAAAAUCCUGGAGAAAUAGAAACAGGAUUCAUAACAGAUUUAUUUGGGGAAUUCCAUACUGAGAAGACACAGCAGUGUCCCAGCCUAGCAGUCACUGGUCAGCUCCCCAUAGACCAUGGUGACAAUGAGGAAAAGCCACAUCCAUGGACACAGAGGGGACCUUCCAUCCAGAGCAACUCCUGGCUGUGGCUGAAAGGUCAGUGAGUGGAAGACAGGAGUAGAUGGACCCACAGCUCAGCUGGAAAAUGUUUUCCACAGGUCCUGGAGACUGAUCUGGCAGGUGUUCCCUUUGCAAAGCUCUGAGGUGUUGCUCCUCUCCCAUCUCUGCCACUCUCUCCCCACAGCUCUCGUGUCAUUGUCUCUUGGCACGAGGUGAUUUCCCUCUCUUGCUGCUGGAAGGGACUGGGAGCUUC